This is a long non-coding RNA of Oncorhynchus gorbuscha (pink salmon), 791 nucleotides long. RefSeq lists it as uncharacterized. NCBI's taxonomy places the organism in Eukaryota, Metazoa, Chordata, Actinopteri, Salmoniformes, Salmonidae. The transcript has 3 exons. The record is from RefSeq and is a predicted model, not a curated record.
GUAAGAUGGUACAAUGAUUCUUUACAGUAUACUUGAUAUUUUUGUCUCAAACUGAAAUUAGGUAAACUAUUAGAAUUUUAGCAACCAGGAAUGGCAUUGAUUUCUGCAUAUUGCACCUUAAAAUAUUUUUUUUUAAAGAAGCUGGACACAACAUUGUAUUUGAAAUCCUGUUUUAUGAUAUACAAUGGCAUAUAUUGCAUUUAAAUUCACAACUAAGCUUAAACAAAGACAUUAAUGAACUGAACUGUUUUUAAUGAACUGUUUUCCACAGCAGUGAAGGAAAGUGGUACAGCUUAUUGGGGUCGUUUGUUGGAAGCAAGAGAGCAAAGGAGAGUCUAUUUGAUUUUGGUGAGAGCCACCGCCCGCCUCUCAGUGUUCUGGAACAAAGCUCGGAUUAGGCUCUUCAUAUCGGAACUAGAGAACUCCAGCGCCAGUGGCCCUUUCCCCUCCGCCCACCUUCAGACAGGAAACAAGGACAAAUCAACCAAUAAGAGGACUCAGUGGUAUACCAAUCAAACAAGUUAGCUUGCAGCACUAUGACCAGCUCCUUGAAGGUGAUCCACUUCUUCACGUAAACAGUUCCCCCUGGAUGGUCAGGGCCUGGAGGACACAGGAAAGCAGAGGCGGAGGGCUCUGCUGGGGCUCCUUGGUCCCGCCCAGGGUCAGCUGGAGCUCCGUCUUCAGGAACGACUUCAUCUCCGUCGGCUCUGAGAGGAUGGAUGGACACACAGAACCAGUGUCUUUGGUGGCAUGAAUGAAGUGCAAUGUACCGCCUUUAAAAUAAAAACGUA